RNAcentral lists this ribosomal RNA (468 nucleotides) under uncultured bacterium. RNAcentral's name for it is "partial 16S ribosomal RNA". It matches the Rfam family "Bacterial small subunit ribosomal RNA", at positions 28 to 507 of the family's 1533-position model. The record is from RNAcentral.
GACGAACGCUGGCGGCGUGCUUAACACAUGCAAGUCGAACGAAAAGGCCCUGCUUUUGCGGGGUGCUCGAUUGGCGAACGGGGGAGUAACACGUGAGUAACCUCCCCCUGUCUUUGUGAUAAAUUCUGGAAACUGGGGCUAAAACCGGAUAGGAGCUCUUGCAGCGCGGGGGUCGUUGGAAAGAUUCGGUGGUUGUGGAUGGAAUCGAGGGUUCUCAGCCUCUUGGUGGAGUAGUGGCUUCCCAAGGGUUUGACGGGUAGCCGGCCUGAGAGGGUGACCGGCCUCAUUGGGACUACGAGACGGAGCAGAAGCGUACGGGAGGCAGCAGUCGGGAACAUUGCGCAGUAGGGGGAAGCCUGAUGCAGAAACGCCGCGUGCGUGAUGACGGCUUACGGGUGGUAAACCAAUGUCGACGGAAACGAGGACUGCGUGACGGUAAUGGGUCAAGAAGCAACGGCUAACUACGUG